This 529-nucleotide ribosomal RNA is filed under the name uncultured bacterium. RNAcentral describes it as "partial 16S ribosomal RNA". It matches the Rfam family "Bacterial small subunit ribosomal RNA", at positions 355 to 874 of the family's 1533-position model. The record is from RNAcentral.
UGGGGAAUUUUGGACAAUGGGCGAAAGCCUGAUCCAGCAAUGCCGCGUGUGUGAAGAAGGCCUUCGGGUUGUAAAGCACUUUUGUCCGGAAAGAAAUCCUUGGCUCUAAUACAGUCGGGGGAUGACGGUACCGGAAGAAUAAGCACCGGCUAACUACGUGCCAGCAGCCGCGGUAAUACGUAGGGUGCAAGCGUUAAUCGGAAUUACUGGGCGUAAAGCGUGCGCAGGCGGUUUGCUAAGACCGAUGUGAAAUCCCCGGGCUCAACCUGGGAACUGCAUUGGUGACUGGCAGGCUAGAGUAUGGCAGAGGGGGGUAGAAUUCCACGUGUAGCAGUGAAAUGCGUAGAGAUGUGGAGGAAUACCGAUGGCGAAGGCAGCCCCCUGGGCCAAUACUGACGCUCAUGCACGAAAGCGUGGGGAGCAAACAGGAUUAGAUACCCUGGUAGUCCACGCCCUAAACGAUGUCAACUAGUUGUUGGGGGACUUCAUUUUCCUUAGUAACGUAGCUAACGCGUGAAGUUGACCGCCU